UCAGGAUGAACGCUAGCGGCAGGCCUAACACAUGCAAGUCGAACGGUGAGGAGCUUGCUCUUGCUGACGAGUGGCGAACGGGUGCGUAACGCGUAUACACUUGCCUAUAACUGGGAGAUAGCCCAUGGAAACGUGGAUUAAUACCCCAUAACUUCGCAUGUUUAAAGCUUUUGCGGUUAUAGAUGGGUAUGCGUGACAUUAGCUAGUUGGUGAGGUAAUGGCUUACCAAGGCUACGAUGUCUAGGGGGCCUGAGAGGGUGAUCCCCCACACUGGUACUGAGACACGGACCAGACUCCUACGGGAGGCAGCAGUGAGGAAUAUUGCACAAUGGAGGAAACUCUGAUGCAGCCAUGCCGCGUGCAGGAUGACUGCCUAUGGGUUGUAAACUGCUUUUAUAUAGGAAGAACCUCUCUACGUGUAGAGAGCUGACGGUACUAUAAGAAUAAGGACCGGCUAACUCCGUGCCAGCAGCCGCGGUAAUACGGAGGGUCCAAGCGUUAUCCGGAUUUAUUGGGUUUAAAGGGUGCGUAGGCGGAAAUUUAAGUCAGUGGUGAAAUCCUACAGCUCAACUGUAGAACUGCCAUUGAAACUGGAUUUCUUGAAUAUAGUUGAAGUAGGCGGAAUAUGUAGUGUAGCGGUGAAAUGCUUAGAUAUUACAUAGAACACCGAUUGCGAAGGCAGCUUGCUAAACUAUUAUUGACGCUGAGGCACGAAAGCAUGGGGAGCGAACAGGAUUAGAUACCCUGGUAGUCCAUGCCGUAAACGAUGAUUACUCGAUAUUGGCGAUAUAUGUCAGUGUCCAAGCGAAAGUGUUAAGUAAUCCACCUGGGGAGUACGGUCGCAAGAUUGAAACUCAAAGGAAUUGACGGGGGCCCGCACAAGCGGUGGAGCAUGUGGUUUAAUUCGAUGAUACGCGAGGAACCUUACCAGGGCUUAAAUGUGAAUGACAGAUGUGGAAACACGUUCUUCUUCGGACAGUCUACAAGGUGCUGCAUGGCUGUCGUCAGCUCGUGCCGUGAGGUGUUGGGUUAAGUCCCGCAACGAGCGCAACCCCUAUCUUUAGUUGCCAGCACAUAAUGUGGGGACUCUAAAGAAACUGCCCGCGCAAGCGGGAGGAAGGUGGGGACGACGUCAAGUCAUCACGGCCCUUACGUCCUGGGCUACACACGUGCUACAAUGGCGAGUACAAAGGGCAGCUACCUGGUGACAGGAUGCUAAUCUCUAAAGCUCGUCUCAGUUCGGAUUGGAGUCUGCAACUCGACUCCAUGAAGCUGGAAUCGCUAGUAAUCGGAUAUCAGCAUGAUCCGGUGAAUACGUUCCCGGGCCUUGUACACACCGCCCGUCAAGCCAUGGAAGCUGGGGGUGCCUGAAGUCGGUGACCGCAAGGAGCUGCCUAGGGUAAAACUAGUGACUGGGGCU
This 1420-nucleotide ribosomal RNA is filed under the name uncultured Bacteroidota bacterium. RNAcentral's name for it is "bacterial SSU rRNA". It matches the Rfam family "Bacterial small subunit ribosomal RNA". The record is from RNAcentral. Lineage: Bacteria; Pseudomonadati; Bacteroidota.